RNAcentral lists this ribosomal RNA (497 nucleotides) under uncultured bacterium. RNAcentral's name for it is "partial 16S ribosomal RNA". It matches the Rfam family "Bacterial small subunit ribosomal RNA", at positions 28 to 507 of the family's 1533-position model. The record is from RNAcentral.
GAUGAACGCUGGCGGCGUGCCUAAUACAUGCAAGUCGAGCGAACAGACGAGGAGCUUGCUCCUCUGACGUUAGCGGCGGACGGGUGAGUAACACGUGGAUAACCUUCCUAUAAGACUGGGAUAACUUCGGGAAACCGGAGCUAAUACCGGAUAAUAUAUUGAACCGCAUGGUUCAAUAGUGAAAGACGGUUUUGCUGUCACUUAUAGAUGGAUCCGCGCCGCAUUAGCUAGUUGGUAAGGUAACGGCUUACCAAGGCAACGAUGCGUAGCCGACCUGAGAGGGUGAUCGGCCACACUGGAACUGAGACACGGUCCAGACUCCUACGGGAGGCAGCAGUAGGGAAUCUUCCGCAAAGGGCGAAAGCCUGACGGAGCAACGCCGCGUGAGUGAUGAAGGUCUUCGGAUCGUAAAACUCUGUUAUUAGGGAAGAACAAAUGUGUAAGUAACUAUGCACGUCUUGACGGUACCUAAUCAGAAAGCCACGGCUAACUACGUG